This 367-nucleotide ribosomal RNA is filed under the name Methylacidiphilales bacterium. Its description in RNAcentral is "bacterial SSU rRNA". It matches the Rfam family "Bacterial small subunit ribosomal RNA", at positions 1 to 362 of the family's 1533-position model. Lineage: Bacteria; Pseudomonadati; Verrucomicrobiota; Methylacidiphilae; Methylacidiphilales. The record is from RNAcentral.
UUAACGGAGAGUUUGAUUCUGGCUCAGAACGAACGCUGGCGGCGUGGAUAAGACAUGCAAGUCGAACGCGACUUAUCUGGUUAGCAAUAACUAGGUAAGUUGAGUGGCGAAAGGGUGCGUAACACGUGGGAAUUUACCAAGAAGUGGGGAAUAGCUCGGCGAAAGCCGAAUUAAUACCGCAUGUGAUCGAAAGAUCAAAGUCGGGGACCGCAAGGCCUGACGCUUCUUGAGAAGCCCGCGGCCCAUCAGCUAGUUGGCGGGGUAACGGCCCACCAAGGCUAUGACGGGUAGCUGGUCUGAGAGGACGACCAGCCACACUGGAACUGAGACACGGUCCAGACACCUACGGGUGGCAGCAGUCGAGAAU